GCCAUUUUCAAAUGAUGGAUUUUCCUGAAUGUUGUCACUUGUCAUUGACCAAUUUGAGGGAUGGGAGUUUGCAACACCACCGGAAAUCUCAGCAUUCUCCACUCCACCACCAACUGGCUUCUUCUCAAUCACGACCCGUCAUCUCUCUUCUCUCACUCGCGAUUGUUCAUCUCCAUGGAGUUUCUCUCUCAUCUCCAUCCAGCUUUCUUUCAUCAGAUCCUUUCACUACACUGUUUCACCAUCUACAUCGAACUUCUCUCUUAAGAUCGUGCCUAGCUGGGUUUUCACCAUUCAUUGAAGCAGAUUGAUAUAGAUGUUUCAAGCUCUGGCUAUCAAUUGGAGCGGCUGAAUGCAUCUUCAUCUGCCACACCAUGGACAUAUCUUCCUGUAUAUUCAACGUUGUUUUUCAUUUUCUUGGUUGAUGUUCUCUGCCUGGGAUGCAAUGAAUCUACUACUAGAUUUGGGAAUACACUAAAAGAAAUCGUAUGCCAGUGAUUUUCCAUGAUGAUGAUGAGGACUAAAAUUUUCUUCCUAUGCAAAGGGGCUGACAGGUUAGCUUACAAAAUUUAUUGAUCCUGCCUAUGGUUCUAAUUGCUGACAGCUCUAAAAGGAACACUUGAACAUUUCUUCUCUCCCAAGAAAGAGUAAUGUUCAUCUUCCUAAUAAGACUUCUUGUCCUUUUAAUCCAUUCAUUUCCUUUAUUACUUGCAGCAAUAAUUAGAUUUCUUAAAAUGCAGAGAGAAGGAAUUGAGGGUAGGAGGAGUGUCUGGUGUAGUAUGGUUGAUUUGAUUUUCUUGUUGAUUCUUAGUUUGCAAAGUUUCAUUUCUUGUUUGAGUCAUGUUUUGGAUUGUUAACUUGAGUUUUCACUGUUUUAUAAACUGCUUUUUUUUUUUUCCAAUCAAUCUCUACAUAUUUGUAAAAUAACGAAAUCUUGGCAAAUGUUUUUUCAACAACGCAAAUUGUUUUAGUAAUGGUUAUAAUAAACCACUUUUGAAU
Trifolium pratense (red clover) is the source of this 996-nucleotide long non-coding RNA. RefSeq lists it as uncharacterized. Lineage: Eukaryota; Viridiplantae; Streptophyta; Magnoliopsida; Fabales; Fabaceae. The transcript has 3 exons. The record is from RefSeq and is a predicted model, not a curated record.